RNAcentral lists this ribosomal RNA (253 nucleotides) under uncultured bacterium. RNAcentral describes it as "partial 16S ribosomal RNA". It matches the Rfam family "Bacterial small subunit ribosomal RNA", at positions 524 to 776 of the family's 1533-position model. The record is from RNAcentral.
UACGUAGGGUGCAAGCGUUAAUCGGAAUUACUGGGCGUAAAGCGUGCGCAGGCGGUGAUGUAAGACAGAUGUGAAAGCCCCGGGCUCAACCUGGGAAUGGCGAUGGAUACUGGCUCGCUAGAGUGCGGUAGAGGAGAGUGGAAUUCCCGGUGUAGCAGUGAAAUGCGUAGAGAUCGGGAGGAACAUCAGUUGCGAAGGCGGCUCUCUGGACCAGCACUGACACUGAGGCACGAAAGCGUGGGGAGCAAACAGG